RNAcentral lists this ribosomal RNA (589 nucleotides) under uncultured Bacillota bacterium. RNAcentral's name for it is "bacterial SSU rRNA". It matches the Rfam family "Bacterial small subunit ribosomal RNA", at positions 338 to 918 of the family's 1533-position model. The record is from RNAcentral. Lineage: Bacteria; Bacillati; Bacillota.
CCUACGGGAGGCAGCAGUAGGGAAUCAUCCGCAAUGGGCGAAAGCCUGACGGUGCAACGCCGCGUGAGUGAGGAAGGCUUUCGGAUCGUAAAGCUCUGUUGUGAGGGAAGAACAGCUUUAGGAGGAAAUGCCUAAAGUUUGCCGGUACCUCACCAGAAAGCCACGGCUAACUACGUGCCAGCAGCCGCGGUAAUACGUAGGUGGCAAGCGUUGUCCGGAAUUAUUGGGCGUAAAGGGCACGCAGGCGGUGAGGCAAGUCUGAUGUGAAAGGCCGGCGCUCAACGCCGGAAUGGCAUUGGAAACUGCCUGACUUGAGGACAGAAGAGGAGAGUGGAAUUCCACGUGUAGCGGUGAAAUGCGUAGAGAUGUGGAGGAACACCAGUGGCGAAGGCGACUCUCUGGUCUGUGCCUGACGCUGAGGUGCGAAAGCGUGGGGAGCGAACAGGAUUAGAUACCCUGGUAGUCCACGCCGUAAACGAUGAGUGCUAGGUGUUAGGGGUUUCGAUACCCGUAGUGCCGAAGCAAACGCAAUAAGCACUCCGCCUGGGGAGUACGACCGCAAGGUUGAAACUCAAAUGAAUUGACGGGG